CCCUACGGGGGGCAGCAGUAGGGAAUCUUCCACAAUGGGCGAAAGCCUGAUGGAGCAACGCCGCGUGGGUGAAGAAGGUCUUCGGAUCGUAAAACCCUGUUGUUAGAGAAGAAAGUGCGUGAGAGUAACUGUUCACGUUUCGACGGUAUCUAACCAGAAAGCCACGGCUAACUACGUGCCAGCAGCCGCGGAAAUACGUAGGUGGCAAGCGUUAUCCGGAUUUAUUGGGCGAAAAGGGGACGCAGGCGGUCUUUUAAGUCUGAUGUGAAAGCCCUGGGCUUAACCGGAGUAGGGCAUUGGAAACG
RNAcentral lists this ribosomal RNA (305 nucleotides) under uncultured bacterium. RNAcentral's name for it is "bacterial SSU rRNA". It matches the Rfam family "Bacterial small subunit ribosomal RNA", at positions 337 to 634 of the family's 1533-position model. The record is from RNAcentral.